Molecule: ribosomal RNA, 497 nt
Filed under: uncultured bacterium
Lineage: Bacteria
Description: partial 16S ribosomal RNA
Rfam family: Bacterial small subunit ribosomal RNA
Source: RNAcentral
GAUGAACGCUGGCGGCGUGCCUAAUACAUGCAAGUCGAGCGAACAGACGAGGAGCUUGCUCCUCUGACGUUAGCGGCGGACGGGUGAGUAACACGUGGAUAACCUACCUAUAAGACUGGGAUAACUUCGGGAAACCGGAGCUAAUACCGGACAAUAUAUUGAACCGCAUGGUUCAAUAGUGAACGACGGUUUUGCUGUCACUUAUAGAUGGAUCCGCGCCGCAUUAGCUAGUUGGUAAGGUAACGGCUUACCAAGGCAACGAUGCGUAGCCGACCUGAGAGGGUGAUCGGCCACACUGGAACUGAGACACGGUCCAGACUCCUACGGGAGGCAGCAGUAGGGAAUCUUCCGCAAUGGGCGAAAGCCUGACGGAGCAACGCCGCGUGAGUGAUGAAGGUCUUCGGAUCGUAAAACUCUGUUAUUAGGGAAGAACAAAUGUGUAAGUAACUAUGCACGUCUUGACGGUACCUAAUCAGAAAGCCACGGCUAACUACGUG